Molecule: ribosomal RNA, 320 nt
Filed under: uncultured eukaryote
Lineage: Eukaryota
Description: partial 18S ribosomal RNA
Rfam family: Eukaryotic small subunit ribosomal RNA
Source: RNAcentral
CCCCUAGAUGUUCUGGGCCGCACGCGCGCUACACUGAACAGUUCAACAAGUCUUAACCUUGGCCGAUAGGUCUGGGUAAUCUUUGAACGCUGUUCGUGAUUGGGAUAGACCUUUGCAAUUAUGGGUCUUCAACGAGGAAUUCCUAGUAAACGCAAGUCAUCAGCUUGCAUUGAUUACGUCCCUGCCCUUUGUACACACCACCCGUCUCACCUACCGAUUGAAUGGUCCGGUGAAAUCUCGGGACGGCGGCUUGGUCGCUUGCGUCCGACUGCUGAAACUUGAUUAAACCAUAUCAUUUAGAGGAAGGUGAAGUCGUAACA